GAUUCCUGGCAGAAUUAACCACCAUGAUAGGAAAGACAAAAGACCCAGGCAAGAACAAAAGCAGGGCAAUCAUGGACAUUUGAAACCCAUCAAGCAGGCUCAGCUCCAGAAAUCUCAAAAUGUUAAAACCAGCUUUAAUAAUGGUGGAAGUGUUAUACCCCCAAAGUUACUAAUUUUCUCAGAAAGCACAUAACAUUUCACACAAUUUAAAAGAACUUCCAUACACACACAAU
Molecule: non-coding RNA, 233 nt
Organism: Notechis scutatus (mainland tiger snake)
Lineage: Eukaryota; Metazoa; Chordata; Lepidosauria; Squamata; Elapidae
Source: RefSeq, a predicted model, not a curated record